RNAcentral lists this ribosomal RNA (1156 nucleotides) under Cyclolejeunea foliorum. RNAcentral describes it as "eukaryotic LSU rRNA". The stretch from base 518 to 670 matches the Rfam family "5.8S ribosomal RNA". The record is from RNAcentral. Lineage: Eukaryota; Viridiplantae; Streptophyta; Jungermanniopsida; Porellales; Lejeuneaceae.
GGUGAAGUUUUUGGAUCGCGGCGACGCCGGCGGUUCGCCGCCGGUGUUGUUGUGAGAAGUUCAUUAAACCUUAUCAUUUAGAGGAAGGAGAAGUCGUAACAAGGUUUCCGUAGGUGAACCUGCGGAAGGAUCAUUGAACACACGAUCUGCGAAAAACUAUGUGAAUCGUUUUGUACAAAGAGGGAUCGUGCCCGGAGGCACGAUCGUCGGUGCUCGAGUCCAGAUUCAUGUGCGUUAGCCUUGAUGGUCCCGUUUGGUGCGCGGCGGGAUCGAGUGACUCGGGUUCAACCGUCGGAUCGCCCCAUACGCGCAUGGCUUCGAGUCUUCCGGAUUCGGAGUCGGGAGUGCGUCCCCUCCUCCAGCGGAGGGGGAGUCCCGGGGUCUUGCCCGGUGACUCCCUCUCCGUUGGUGCCCUUUUUUCUCAAGCAACUCGGUAAAACUCGAAGGAUGAUUUCAUUGAUGGGAGCUCGGGAGUGCCUCGGUGCUCCCGAGAUCUCACGAUAGGGAAAACACAAAUGACUCUCAGCAACGGAUAUCUUGGCUCUUGCAACGAUGAAGAACGCAGCGAAAUGCGAUACCUAGUGUGAAUUGCAGAAUUCCGCGAAUCAUCGAGUUUUUGAACGCAAGUUGCGCCCGAGGCUCGUCUGAGGGCAUGCCUGCCUGAGCGUCCGCUCCGACCCACCCAACAGCCCUGUCCUACUCCGCAAGAGAAAGGCAGGGGCGAGUGCGAGUGGAACUGGUCGUCCGAGAACUCGCUCGUCUCCGCCGGGGACGAGUCGAGAUCGCCGGUCGGCUGAAAACGUGAGCCGUCCGUCAAAACGCACACUGGGACAACGGUGCGUCGCGAGAAGGUGCCGUCCCUCUCCGGUCGUUCUCGACGGGGGAGGGAUGCUUGUUUUAGAGCGACGUGCCUUCCCGGUGGGGUCGAGAUUUGGCGGUUCGGCGAGAGACUGAACAUGGGGAGCGUCCCUGGACACUCCCCCGCUGAACUCUCUCGGAAGAGAGGGGGAUGCGGGGGAUGUCCAGUCCGAACGCAACGUUGCUCGGACCUCAGAUCAGGCAAGACCACCCGCUGAGUUUAAGCAUAUCACUAAGCGGAGGAAAAGAAACUAACAAGGAUUUCCUUAGUAACGGCGAGCGAACCGGAAGUAGCCCA